GACGGGGGAUGCAAGCGUUAUCCGGAAUCACUGGGCGUAAAGCGUCUGUAGGUGGUGAUGCAAGUCACUGGUGCAAAACUCUGGCUCAACCGGAGGAAAGCCAGUGAAACUGCAUGACUAGAGUGUGGGAGAGGUAGAAGGAAUUCCCUGAGUAGCGGUGAAAUGCGAAGAUACAGGGAAGAACACCGGAGGCGAAAGCGUUCUACUGGAACACAACUGACACUGAGAGCCGAAAGUUAGGGGAGCGAAUGGG
Molecule: ribosomal RNA, 253 nt
Filed under: uncultured bacterium
Lineage: Bacteria
Description: partial 16S ribosomal RNA
Rfam family: Bacterial small subunit ribosomal RNA
Source: RNAcentral